AUUUUCUUAGUACAGUAGUAUAGGUGACUUCCAAUCACCUGGCCUUGGUUAAAAUCCGAGAGAAAAUA
This 68-nucleotide transfer RNA is filed under the name Rana johnsi (John's groove-toed frog). RNAcentral's name for it is "tRNA-Gly". It matches the Rfam family "tRNA". Rfam says of the family: Transfer RNA (tRNA) molecules are approximately 80 nucleotides in length. Their secondary structure includes four short double-helical elements and three loops (D, anti-codon, and T loops). Further hydrogen bonds mediate the characteristic L-shaped molecular structure. tRNAs have two regions of fundamental functional importance: the anti-codon, which is responsible for specific mRNA codon recognition, and the 3' end, to which the tRNAs corresponding amino acid is attached (by aminoacyl-tRNA synthetases). tRNAs cope with the degeneracy of the genetic code in two manners: having more than one tRNA (with a specific anti-codon) for a particular amino acid; and 'wobble' base-pairing, i.e. permitting non-standard base-pairing at the 3rd anti-codon position. The record is from RNAcentral. Lineage: Eukaryota; Metazoa; Chordata; Amphibia; Anura; Ranidae.